GAUGAACGCUGGCGGCGUGCCUAAUACAUGCCAGUCGAGCGAACAGACGAGGAGCUUGCUCCUCUGACGUUAGCGGCGGACAGGUGAGUAACACGUGGAUAACCUACCUAUAAGACUGGGAUAACUUCGGGAAACCGGAGCUAAUACCGGAUAACAUGUUGAACCGCAUGGUUCAACAGUGAAAGACGGUUUUGCUGUCACUUAUAGAUGGAUCCGCGCCGCAUUAGCUAGUUGGUAAGGUAACGGCUUACCAAGGCAACGAUGCGUAGCCGACCUGAGAGGGUGAUCGGCCACACUGGAACUGAGACACGGUCCAGACUCCUACGGGAGGCAGCAGUAGGGAAUCUUCCGCAAUGGGCGAAAGCCUGACGGAGCAACGCCGCGUGAGUGAAGAAGGUCUUCGGAUCGUAAAACUCUGUUAUUAGGGAAGAACAAAUGUGUAAGUAACUAUGCACGUCUUGACGGUACCUAAUCAGAAAGCCACGGCUAACUACGUG
RNAcentral lists this ribosomal RNA (497 nucleotides) under uncultured bacterium. RNAcentral describes it as "partial 16S ribosomal RNA". It matches the Rfam family "Bacterial small subunit ribosomal RNA", at positions 28 to 507 of the family's 1533-position model. The record is from RNAcentral.